Vicia villosa (hairy vetch) is the source of this 3018-nucleotide long non-coding RNA. RefSeq lists it as uncharacterized. The record is from RefSeq and is a predicted model, not a curated record. The transcript has 3 exons. NCBI's taxonomy places the organism in Eukaryota, Viridiplantae, Streptophyta, Magnoliopsida, Fabales, Fabaceae.
CAUACAGAAAUUGAAAUCUUCAACUCAGCCCUAACCUAAAACGUAACCUCAGAAAUUGAAAUCUAACCUAUGCUAAUACUUAUCUUAGAAAAUCGCUCUUGAGAGAAAUUGAAAACGAAACUUCAGAGAAUCGCUCGAGAGAAAUUGAAAACGAAAUAGAGAAUCGCUCUCACGAAUCUCGUUAUUUCCUCUUUCAACUCAAGGAAUUACCCUAACUCUCUAUUCUAAUUCUCUCACAACGAUCUGAACUCUCGCAAUCGCAACCACCGAUCAAAUCUCUGAACCCUACCUUUAUUUUUUCCCCUUUCAAUUCAGGAUUUAAUUCAGUUGUUAGGAAAACGCUUACAAAUAGGAAGGAUUCACAAGUGCUUAUGUUAGUAGAUAAGACCAAUUAAUUAAUCCAAACAGGGCCUUAAACCCAACAGAUUGGGAUGUAACGCUGAUGGAGUCUAUGAACAAGAGGUGUGUCUUCUUGGAGCAUGUUCUUGGUGUUAUUGGUUACUCCAAUGUUCAAAUUGUAAAAGGAAGAUCAAAGGUACAGAAACUCCAUUUCCUUUAAUAAGAAAUCUUAAUUUGAGUAUCCAAAGUGUUCGUUAAAAUGUAAAAGGGCGCAGGACAGAGUUUGGGGCGUGAUCUUUGCUUCAGAAAGAAAUUUAACAUAGCAGUAGUCAGGGCCGUUGCAAAGACAAGAAUUUAAUACUUUAUUGCCAUGUUAACAGUCAGUAGUUUGUUUGUUUGUUCUGUUUGCUGAUUUGGUGUUUGCUUCUUAUUUGUUUGUUUGUUGAUUUGGUGUUUUGCUUCUUAUUUGUUUUCAGCUGAGUGUCUUCUUAUUGCCAUGUUAACAGUCAGUAGUUCUCUUAUUGGCCUGUAGCAAUUGUUUAACCAUAAAAAAAUUAGAAAUUCUGGAUCAUUUUCACCCAAAAGACAACUUAGAUAUUUUCUUAUUGGCCUGUCAAAAUUGUUUAACCAUUGACAAGUUAGAAAUCCGAUAGUCUAAGGUUGAAGAAGAAAGUGACGGUGUUUGGGGCAUUGUUGGUGGAAAAGUAAGAAAAUUAUUCUGUACACAACCCACUGUUGGUCUAAUUUAUGUUCUUUUAUUUCAUCGUGUAUUUUAAAUUCUUCACGAGUCUGACUCUUUGGUUGAAUUAGAUAAUUUGGUUCAGUUCUUUUAUUGCAUCUUGUUAGUGCAUGGUAAAUUGUUUUUAUUGUCUAUCUAACUAUGUGUUGAAAUUCAACAGCUGAACUAUUGGGAUUGAGGAUUACAUUCCUCCAUAUGCAUCAGCUAGUGAUGAUGCCAUACUCAAAGAUGUCAAUUAUGCAUCUGAGAUAGUGAUACCGUGGUCCUUUCUCUCCUUCUCACCUCAGGCAGCUUUCCUAUGGUCCUUUCUACAACUAUUUUAUAUUAUAGUUAUUUUAAUAUAUAAUUUAUAAUGAUUCAAAAGUUAAUUAAAAUAAAAAAUUAUUUAAUCUUAGAUAGAAAUUACCUGCGGAUUUAUCUGCGAAUGUUUCUUGCGGAUUUAGCUGCGGAAUUACUUGCGGAACUUCCUGCAGAAAAUAUUACUCACAAAAGUUUUAGCUAGGGACAGAAAACCGCAGGAAAAUCUGCAGGUAACGUGUUUCCUGCGGAAAUUUAGCUAAAAUCCGCAGGAAAUUCGUGUAUUUCUAGUAGUGUUAUUUUGUUACAUAUAGCACAUAUUGUGAAAUCUUUGUCCUUUUUCUCAUUAUACAUAAGUUUGGCUUGUAUUUGAGUUCUACUGAAUUUGAAUCGAUUGAGUUUGAAAACAGCUUGGCAUAAGCUUAGUUUGAAUCUAUUAUUGGAUAGGGUAGGCAACUUCAAGAUAGGUUAAGUUAUUGGAGUUGGGACCAUGUGGUAGUUUUUAACAUUAUUUUAUGUAUAGUUCCAAACUAAUCUUUUUCUUAGGCUAAUCUAAAAUAUAAAUUAGUUUGGGCCACAACAACAGAGGCCUAAGAAAUUUUUAAUUUAAAAUGAUAAACGUAUUUUUGUUUUUUAUUUUCAGUUACUAGUAUAUAUCUUUUUAACUUUAAUGUAUAAAAAAUCAAAUUAGUUGUCAUUUUUUGUUUGAAAUUUGUAAAUUAUAAAACCAAUAAUGUUUUUUUAUAUAUAUUCAUCUCAUCAUAAACAUAAAUUACAUAAAAAUUAUUAUCAUACUAAUAUACAAUAUACAAGGUCGAUCCUGAUUUUUUAGGGGCUCAAGAUAAUUAAUAAAAGUUGAUCCUUAAUACAAAAAAUUGAACAACUAAUCUUAAAUUUUGAUUUUGAUUUUUUGGAUUUUGUUUUUCUCUUUUGUUUCAGAGAGAGGAAGGUCACUAUAUCAAAGUCAAAGAAAAUGACAAUGGUCGACCGAACUUUAUAUUUGUUUAUUUAAUUCUAUUUAAUUGUUAUGCAUGUUUUUUCUUUUAUGAUAGAUGUGCUUUUUUACUUUUAAUUUAUUUUUUUAUUUUUAGAUUUUUACUUUUUAGAUUUUUAAGGUGUUUUUUAGGUUUUAUGGUGAAGUAAUUGUGAGAUAUUAACAUGGGCCUCAAAUUUUUAUUACAAUUUAAUUAAACCUUAUAAAUAUCGGGUUAGGUUAGCCGGUCGUCCGAAACAAUUUUGAGACAAUAUUCUAAUUUUAAAAAUGAUCUCUAAUACAAAAAUUAUAUUAUAUUUAAAUAAAAAUUUAGAUGGGUAUUCAGUUUGAAUUGAAUUAUUUUACUAUAUUCUUAAUCUUCUUCUAUUUCUAUUUGUGGCAUCUCUAAUUUUUUUGUUUUAUGUUCUCUAGAAAAUACAAUUGCGUUGCUAUUUCAAAGUUUAAAAAUUUGUGUUAUAUGACGAAGUUAUUUUAAGACACUAUAUAAAGCACCUCAAAUUUUCAUUACAAUUGAUUUUAAUAGCACGAAGAAAGUCAAAUUAAUUAAAAAUAAUUCAAAAUUUUAUAAAUAUUGUGUUAUGUUAGACUCAUUUAAGUUAAAUUUUUAUUUUUUAAUUUUUUUAUUAAUUUAAUUUAUUAUCUAUAUAAU